Long non-coding RNA from Camelus dromedarius (Arabian camel), 5860 nucleotides. RefSeq lists it as uncharacterized. NCBI's taxonomy places the organism in Eukaryota, Metazoa, Chordata, Mammalia, Artiodactyla, Camelidae. The record is from RefSeq and is a predicted model, not a curated record. The transcript is spliced from 10 exons.
AGGCUACGCAGGACGUCCUCUAUUGCCACUUCCGUGGGUGCUAGGUUAGAGGCUGGGGGCGGUGCUGACCUUGAGAGCGCGCCGGGGAGGCGCAGGCGCAGCACAGGAGAAUCCAGUUUUGCAAAAAUUGGGGAAACCAUUGCUUGCAGAGGGGACAAUAACGCAAAACCCUGAGGCAUGAACUACCUUGGGAAAUUCCAGGAACCAAAAGAAGGCCUGCCUGGUUGAAGCAUAGUAACUACAAGACAAAGCAACUGGGGAACCUAAUUCUGACCAACAAGGAGGAAUUGCUUGGCUAAUUGGAAGUGACAGAAACCUUGGGAGAAAACAACCACAUACCAAGGAUAAUUAUAAGAAGGAUUACUAGACCAGUGCACCAAUAAAAUGAAGUAGACAAUAUUUAUCUGUGCCUAACAGACAUUACUGACAUUUUUCAUCAUAUACUUAACCAGGCACUGUGUUAUGCUAGAUGGAGCGGCAACAUUCAGACCUUACCUUCAAGGGACUUUAAAUCUAGGAGAGAGCAUAAAAUGUAUGCUAGUAGUUAUUAAAUGCUCAUAUGCAAUGUUAGUGCUGCAAGGGAGAUACAAAGAGGAUGCAGAGCUUAUGUUCAGCUUGGGACCUGAUAAGAGGUUGGGUAGGGAUAUAGAUGAAAAAAGACUGGGCAUGAAUUGAUAAUUAUUGAAGCUAUCUAAUGGGUACGUUACAUUAUUUUGUCCAUCUAUUAAUUUUUUCAUAAUAAAAGUGCUUCUUAAAAAGUCUUCCUCAAUGAGAUGGCAUUUGAGAUAGACUUUGGCAAAAGGGCACUAGCCAGUAAACCAAGAAGUAUGGGUAGAAAUAGCAAGAUCCUGACACGUAGUUGGAAAAGCCCUAGGCUGAUUCGAUUGAUGUUGUACUGCUUAGGUGAAGCAUAGAGUAUAUAUUGGGGCAUAGGAGAAUGGGAUAAAACUAAAAAAUUAUUUUUAUUAUUAUUUCAAUGACUUUGAGUAUUAAAUUGUGACAUUUAAAAUUAUUACAGCAGUUCCUAGUGGCUUUAGCAUGAUUUGAUUAAAAGUUUUGAUUAUAGGGGAAAUAAAGAGGCUGAAGUGAAGCAGAUAUGAAUCCAAAUUCCAGUAAGAAGGACUUUACAAAGUUGAAGAGAGGCUGUGCAGUCCAGAAAAGAACAGGGACAUGGAAUAGAAAGUCCAGGAGAGGAGCUGUAGAAGGGGAAUAUUAGGACACUCGAUUGACAGAGGACAGAGAAUGUCAAAGAUAAAUUUAAGAUUUUGUUUCCAGUCUGGGUGCACAUAAGCCAGGAUGGUCAUAUCCAAAUUAGUGAAGAAGACAAAGUAGCUUUUAGGCAUCACUAGUCUGAAGGGCUAGGAGGAGGACAACUAGACAGAGGUGACCAGAAGAUGCCCUCCACAAGAGAGAGGAUUGGGAGAGGAGAGAAACUUGGGACUUAUUCAUAUGGAACUAAGCAUUGAAGCACAAAAUUGCUGAGCAGUUGUUUAGCACCAGCCAAACAAGAGGUGAAAGACUCUGGAUUUCUAACGCACAGCAAUUUUCAGUUAAUAUGUCUAGAACUGCAAAAUAAAUAACCUCUAAGCAAAUCAGGUGGCAUCACAGUCAAGUUAAAUCCUAGAAGGUUCAGAUGGGGUCUUAUUUCGAAGGUCUCAUAUCGAGGCUUAAAGACUUUCAUGGUAAAGCUUGGAAAACUACAAUGGGAGAACUACAUAAAUUUGAGUACUGUCUCCUGCUCUCUCUUCUCUGCACUGGGUGAAGGAAAACCCUUCAUAGACAACUUUAGCAUAACUUUGCCAUGAUGAGAACAACUUGCAUGGUGAAUACUGUCCAGAGAAAUUGUGUGCUUUGAGAUAAUUUAGAAGAUCACUCCUGGCAGCACCUAGAGAUUUGUUUUUUUAACUAAUUUAUGCUCACAAGAUGUGAGACUAAAUGGUAAAACUGUAUCAGAAUAUUAAGAGGCGAGCACCCUUUCAAUUCAAAAUGGCACAUUGUUACCAGUAGUGAUUCAGGCCACUGGAGACUGAGUUCUACCAAAAUACAGGAACAGACCAAGAAACAAGACCUGGCAAACCAAAAACAGUACUUCCAACCCGAUAGGGAGAUGAAGAACUGUGAGCAGCAGCAUGCAAAAGUUCAAGACAAGUAGCCUCAAAGAGCCAACGUCAGCCUGGAGGGGCCUUUACACAAGAAGAGGAGCCUGUGGUAUGUCAGUAUGAGCUGGAGCAGCCAUCGUGAGGUUCAGGGUUAGCUCUGGAGUGGAGUUGCAUGGAUGGAUUAGAAACUGAUGGGCAGUGUCUCAGGGCCAGAUAGUGGGAAGUGAGAUAGACUAAGUUGGCACAAAGACUGCGGUGGAUCAGGCAGGUUCCCAGGCAAAUGGGUUGAGUAUCAGAAAGUCAGGGAUCCAGCUAAGAUUAACAAUGGAUCAGAAACUUGGGCAAGGAAUCUGAAUAACAGGAACGGAGCACCCUUAAGAAAAACAAGCAAGGAGGUGUGGGUAUAGCUCAGUGGUAGAGUGCAAAUUUAGCAUGCACGAGGUCUUGGGUUCAAUCCCCAGCACCUCCACUAAAAUAAGAAGAAGAAAUAAGAAAUAAAUGAAUAAUUUUUUUUUAAAAAAAGAAAAACAAGCAAAACAAAAUUUGGCAUUCUAAAGGCAUUUUGAUUCAAGUCAGAGACAAUUUCUGAGCAUAGGAACCAGUGUCUUUUAUUAUCUUCCUUGAGGAUUCAAGCUGGAGUCCUUGAGGCUAGGUUGGAUCUCUUGACUGAAGUGGGGAAGGAGGAAGCAGCAUUUCUGGUGUAAUAUAAAUCAUAUUGUGGUGAUGUAUAUCAUAAAGGUUCAAUCAAAUGGCACAGUUAACAUUUUAUGUGUUUGAUAAAUUGAAGCUAGCAUUCCUUCCAUCUCCAGAAGUAUAUAAGUCUCUAUUUUGAGCCGGAAGGAAUAAAAAAACCCAUUUUCCUCUGGGAUAUUUUUCUAGAACUGGUGGCCUCUACAACAACAAUCAAAAUUGCUUUCCCACAAAGUUUUAUAAGGGACAGUGGAGAGUGGGAAACCUUUGUCUAAAUCGCUCCUUCCGGACAUGAAAGUUAUCUUUAUGCAGAAGUAGAGGAAUAAUCAUCAUUGUGCUCUCCCUCCCCUCGUCCCCAGUUCAUUUAUCCAUGGAAGUGACUGGUCAGAAACAGGUUCUCAGAUCAGUUGUCCAUCUUCACAGGGAAAAAAGCUGGUUGUUAAUUUAAUUAAAUAAUUAAAUAAUUAAGUACUUAAGGCUUAAUUGCGCCUCUAAAAUGUCCUAGAACUCUGCAAGUGGCCAGGGCUACAGAGAAAGUAGACACAGAGAUUGCCCUCAAGAAGCUCACAUUCUAGUGAAGAAUCAAGGCAAGAACACAGCCCUGUUCCCCAGUGUGAUUAGUGCUCUGAUUAGGAUAAACACAUGAUGUUACAGAAUUCUUCUGGGGAGUAUCUAACCCAGCCAGGAGGGUAAGAAAACUUGCUGGAAUAAAGGCUUUAUUCAAAGGUGGUUGUAAUCAGGGAAGGGGACUGUUGUGAGGGGGAGAAUGCUCAGACUAUAAGAUCUGCAAACAUCUGAAAGGUCAUGCAAAAAAUGAAUUUUCUUUUUAUAGGGAGGGAGAAAAUGGCUAGAAGGAAUCUGGCUUGGAUAGGGGAAUGAGAUGAGCAGGUGACGUGAUGGGACAGUUGACUUUUCUUGCAGUCAGCUGAUCACCUGGAGAGGCUGCUAAGGAGGAUUUUUCUGCCCCAAAACCCAGAGGUGCAGCAAAGAUCAGGUGCAGCUAAGUUCAGGUGCCUGGGGGAGGGAAAGAAGCCUGACUAAAGUUUGGUCAAGUCAGGCAUUUUGUUCAGACUGGUCAGGGGGACAAACAGUCCAACUAAUCAUUUCUGAGAUAAAGAAUGGGAAAUUGGAGGGUCUCUGGCCUCAUCAUAGAGGAGGGCAUCAAGGAGGGAAUCAGUGAGUCUUAUCUAAGAAGAAAAAGUUUGGUUCUCUGCAGUAAGCUUUUUUUCUUGAAUAUAAAAGAGUUGGGGAAAGUGGUGGGAGAGAUUUAUUAAUUGUAGCUUUUUCCAGGAGCACAGGGCUCAGCUCAAGUUCAACAUUAUCAAUAUCUAAAUUAAUACUGUAAAGAAAAUCAAGAGAACAUUAGAGACAGGGAAAUAGCCAUGAGGCAGAAUAAACAUGGUAUCUUCCAGGAAUGUGAGGCAUUGCUACACUUGAUCUCAGAAGCAGGAGAUUGUUAGAAGGGUCCCACAGCAGUUCAGAAAAAAAUGUUCACUUGAAUUAAGGAAUAGUAGUCAAAUGCCCACAUAGAUGUUGGCCUGGGAGAUGGAAUAAACAUGUAAAAAGUGAGUUAUGAAACUACUGAAGAGUUUGACUAUGAAAGACAAUUCACCUCAGCUGAGAAAGCAGUCCAAGUAGUAAUCAGAUCACUCUCUCAGUUUGAUCUGAGGUAACAUAUCAGAUUUUUAUAUCUAGAAGGCCAAGAGGCAGAACUACAUAAAACAGACCUAUUUUCUGGGCAAUGAUUUUUUUGGAUUUGAUCCCAAAAGCACAGGCAAAAAAAGCAAAAAUAGACAAAUGAUAAAAAGCCUCUGCACAGCAAAGGAAAUAAUCAACAGAGUGAAAAGGCAACCAAUGGAAUGGGAGAGAAUAUUUGCAAAUCAUGCAUCUAAUAAGGGAUUAAUAUCCAAAAUAUGUGGAACUCAUAAAACUCAAUACUUUAAAAAAAAUGAACAAUCUGAUUGAAAAAUGAGCAAAGGACCUGAACAGACAUCUCUCAAAAGAAGACAUACAAAUGGACAAUGAAAAAUUGUUCAGCAUCACUAACCAUCAGAGAAAUACAAAUCAAAACCACAGUGAGAGAUAACCUCACACCCACUAGAAUAACUACGAUCAAAAAGACAAAAGAACAAAUGGCAACAAUGUAAAGAAAAGAGAACCCUUGUACACUGUUAGUGGGAAUGUAACUUAGUACAGACAUUACGGAAAACAAUAUAGAGGUUUCUCAUAAAAUUAAAAAUAGAGCUACCAUAUGAUCCAGCAAUCCUACUUCUGAGUAUAUAGCCAAAGGAAAUGAAAUCAGAAUCUAGAAGAAAUAUUUAUACUCUCAUGUCCAUUGUAGCAUCAUUCACAAUAAUCAUGAUAUCGAAACUACCUAAAUGUCUGUCCACAGACGAAUGAACAAAGAAAAUGUGGUAUAAACAUACAGUGAAAUACUAUUCAGCCUUAAAAAAGGAAAAAUCCUGUCAUUUGUGACAGGAUCGAUGAACCUAGACAACAUUAUGCUAGGUGAAAUAAGCCAUACACAGAAAGACAAAUACUGUAUUGUCCUCACUUAUACGUGGAAUUUAAAAAGUUGAACUCAUAGAAGCAAAAAGUAGAAUGAUGACUGCCAGGGACUGAAGGGUGGAAGAAAUGGGGAGAUGUUGGUCAAACGGUACAAAGUUUCAGUGACACAGAAUGAAAAAGUUCUGGACACCUAAUGAACAGCAUGGUAACUAUAGUUAAUACCAUAUUAUAUACUUGAAUAAUAUUACAUUGUAUACAUACUGUAUAUUGAAAUUUGCUGAGUAGAUCUUAAAUGUUCUUGCGAUAAAAAAGAUAACUAUGUGACAUGAUGAAUAUGUUAAUUAGCUUGAUUGUAGUGAUCACUUCACAAUGUAUAUGUAUAUCAAAGCAUGUUGUGCAUUGUAAAUAUGUAUAAUUUUAUUUGUCAAUCACAUCAAUAAAGCUGGAAAAUAAAUUUUUUGAAAAGACCUAUUUUAAGCCAAUUUAAAUGACUGUGAACCCACUAUGAUGUGUCAUAUUUCACCACUAUGUUUAUAUCCUCAAUAAAAACAGCUUUAAAUUAA